Molecule: long non-coding RNA, 1302 nt
Filed under: Danio rerio (zebrafish)
Lineage: Eukaryota; Metazoa; Chordata; Actinopteri; Cypriniformes; Danionidae
Description: lncRNA (ENSDARG00000117775.1)
Source: RNAcentral
UUUCACACUAAUUGGACCAUAGUUAACACCUGAGUGCUCAUUUCGAGCUGUCAUGCCAAGUCAAACUAUUUAAUCCAGUGCCGGAGUUACCCGUUCUCGCAAAUUAUGGAUAUUACGUGAUAAUUCAUUUGUAUAUUUGUUAUAUUUUCAACAACCAUAAGCAAAAGCAGAAUGGCGUCUGCAGAAGCCUCGCGGAUAUCAUGGAAAUAAGGAACGGCACUCAUGAGAUGGGAUGUCAUCCGGCCCAGUGAUCUGCCGACGGAGAGACAAAUUCUGAUGGCAGGCUUAUGGCCACGGUGCCUUGGUGGAGGAAAAAGGUGAAGCCUCAGCUGUCCAAAGCCCAUCACAUCCGACAGCUGCUAAGCGGCCCGGAUGACUUUGAAACAAGGAGGAAUUACCUGCUGGAACGCUGAUAAAGCAGAACUCAAAAGAAGAUGGCAGAAUGACAGUCUGAGUCUCCAUUCACCUUCACUGCACCUUCUUUUAAAAACUAACAGUGACUGAGACUGCAAAUCUGCCACAUCUCUCUCUCUCUGUCACAGUGAAUUCAGACCGCCGUACGCUUUGAAAUGACUCCAUGAUGUGUAAAUGAUGACGCCAUUCAAGUUUAUAGGUCAGCUAUUCUUUUAAGUGAUUGAUAUGAUAUGCUUUUUGCCUGGAUUUUAUUUGGUUUGCAUAAUGAUGAACGCUGUUCACGCUGGCGUAUUCAUUGUGCAGCUCAUAGUCUAUCCUCAGAUGACUAGAUAAGAGAUAAUGUGCAUUUCGCACAGAUAAGAAAACAGCUUUGAGUCGUGAUAGAAAAACAGCCUCUCAUCCUGACUUCAUUAAUAUUCCGCUAUCAGAUACUGAUCUGACUUUAUAUUGCUAUCACUAAAAUUAGUGUGCUAUAGUUGUCAAAUACAACGCGCACAUUUUUUUUUUAAAGCAUGCUUUUUUACCCUUUAAUAUGUUGUGUAAUUGUACAGUAUUUUACAGUCUGCAGAGUUUUAAAGUACAUUUUCCUUCCCAAAGCAAGUGUGAAGUGCUUGAAAUGAGACAUUAAUAAUUCCUAUUAGGGUUGCACAAUAUUGGACAUAAAGCUGACAUUGGAAUUUACACGUACCGGCCACUUUAUUAGGUACACUUGUCCAACUGCUCAUUAACGCAAAUUUCUUAACAGCCAAUCAGAUAGCAGCAGCUCAACGCAUUAGGACUCAACGGCUAAGGGGUAGAAUUGGGAUUGGGCCUUAAUGUGGCAUAGUUGUUGGUGCCAGACGGGCUGAUCUGAGUAUUUCAGAAACUGCUGAUCUACUGGGAUUUUUA